Molecule: ribosomal RNA, 500 nt
Filed under: uncultured bacterium
Lineage: Bacteria
Description: partial 16S ribosomal RNA
Rfam family: Bacterial small subunit ribosomal RNA
Source: RNAcentral
AUUGAACGCUGGCGGCAUGCUUUACACAUGCAAGUCGAACGGUAACAGGGUGCUUGCACCGCUGACGAGUGGCGAACGGGUGAGUAAUGCGUCGGAACGUGCCGAGUAGUGGGGGAUAACGCAGCGAAAGUUGUGCUAAUACCGCAUACGUACUGAGGUAGAAAGUGGGGGACCUUCGGGCCUCACGCUAUUCGAGCGGCCGACGUCUGAUUAGCUAGUAGGUGAGGUAAAGGCUCACCUAGGCGACGAUCAGUAGCGGGUCUGAGAGGAUGAUCCGCCACACUGGGACUGAGACACGGCCCAGACUCCUACGGGAGGCAGCAGUGGGGAAUUUUGGACAAUGGGCGAAAGCCUGAUCCAGCCAUUCCGCGUGCAGGAUGAAGGCCCUCGGGUUGUAAACUGCUUUUGUACAGAACGAAAAGGUUUCUACUAAUGCUAGGAGCUCAUGACGGUACUGUAAGAAUAAGCACCGGCUAACUACGUGCCAGCCGCCGCCGUAA